RNAcentral lists this long non-coding RNA (2476 nucleotides) under Mus musculus (house mouse). RNAcentral describes it as "long non-coding RNA chr2:32403296-32405772". Lineage: Eukaryota; Metazoa; Chordata; Mammalia; Rodentia; Muridae. The record is from RNAcentral.
UACAGGUCAAGUCCACAUUAGGACACCAGGCCCAACAAGGCCAGGUAUAUAAACCUCUGCUGUACAAUUAGGGGCUGUGCCCCAGAGAUACUGCUGAGGGUCCCUCAGGCAGCCUGUGGUCGACCCAGGUUGGGACAGUCCGUAGAAUCUUGUUUUGUUUUUUUAAUGUGUACGGGUUUUUGCUUGCAUACGUGUCUGCACCAUGUAUAUGCCUGGUGCCUGUGGAGUUGGAAGAAAUCUUCAGAUCCCCUAAGACUGGAGUUAAGAUGGUUGUGAGCCAACAAACCUUCAUCUCUCCAUCCUUGCAUUCUGUGGGUUGCAAAGCCAUGGGGUGGUAGGGAGGGGCAGAGGAGCAAGAUUGGGGUAGAGCAUAGCCAAACCCCAAGCCUGCAUGUCCCAGCACUUAGCCUGUACCCCCACCAUUGCCCCCCGGAGGAGGUCAUGUAGUCCAAUGGCCGUGUUAAACUCCCUCUCCCCUUAAAAGGUCAUGUCCAGCAGCACUUGAAUUUCAUUCUUAUGCAGAUGAGGUAUCCUCAGAAUUCACAGGUUGUGAGGUUGCAGUUGCAGGUGAUCUGCUGCUACAGGUAGGGAAGCAGAGCCUGAACAGCAGCAUCCCUGUUCCCAGCCUCCAUGUCCCCUCUCAAGGCUCUGUCAACUGCUGUUCCCUGGUACCUCGAGGAGGCCGACUCACCCCUCAAUCCCACUGUACCCAAGGAAGCAGCUGGUAUACACAUUGCCUUAGUAAUGAUUUCACUGCUGUGAACAGACACCAUGACGGAGACAACUCUCAUGAGGACAACAUUUAAUUGGAGCUGGCUUAUAGGUACAGCACUGAGUCCAUUAUCAUCAAGGCAGGAACAUGGCAACCUCCAGGCAGGCGUGGAGCAGGAGGAACUGAGAGGAGACUCAUCUGGGAGAUGAAAGUCUUUCAUCUUCAUCUGAAAGCUGCUAGCAGAAUACUGCCUUCCAGGCAGCUAGGAUGAGGGUCUUAAAGGGCAUGCCCACAGUGACACACCUACUCCAACAGGGCCACACCUGCUAAUAUACGAACCACCACACACAUAUUGUGGUGAGAUGUCUCCUCACUAGGACACCAUAGCCCAUAGCCCGGGAAAUCCCACUGCUGGUAGCCUGUGUUCUCCAUGCUCCUGCACUGGAUCAGUUGUGUCUCGCCUUGGCUCCCCCUUGAAGUCAUCUGAGUUGUGUUUCGCCUUGGCUUCCCCUUGAGGUCAUCUGAUUUAGGAAGCAGGUAGGUUGUGUCUCAGGUAUCAGACAUACCCUCUCUCCUCAUCUCCACAGACAUGAUGUUCGUGUUUUCUUCUGCCUCUGCAUUCCACAGAGAGCAGAAGGGCUGGUGGAGCCAGGGGAAUCAAACCUGAGUGUUUUCCCCAGAGGUUGCUGUAGGUGGAAGAAGACUGCACUGGCUGGCCGGUGAUGAAAACCCCAAGGACCAUGCUAGCCAGACUGGCUUCCUAUGACUUUAAUGGAGAAAGACUGAAGUGGCCACACUCACUAGGCCUAGCAAGCUUACCUUUCUUCUUUUAGCGUGCUUCCCACAGCCACCAGGAGGCACUAGAGAGCCUACAAAGCCUUCAGGAGAUGGAAGGAACAUGGUGCUGCCACCUUGUGGCCAAUUUCAGGUUUGGUUAGGUGAUCUUCAUUGUCCAAAUAGAUGUCUGGGCUGAUAGCUCCAGCAUUUAAGCAUUUGGAGAUAAGUAGGAAAAAUCACAUUUCACAGGGGUCAGAACUGUCCCAGGGACCAGUGCCUGGUCUCUGUCAUGUUCACUCUAAGUCUCCUGUGGUCUGCUUUUGAGAAAGCUCUCUGUAGCCCAGGCUGGGCUGGAACCUGCCAUAUAACCUGGGAUGACCUCGAACUUGUACCUCCUCCAAUCUCCUAAGCGUUGGGAUUAUAGAUGUACAUCAUGUUGCCCAUAGUCUUGGCUGAGCAGAGUUUGGGCCUCUGUCCUCUCUUGGUUGCGACCUUGGGCAAGCCUCAUUCCUCCGGGGAACUGGCAUCAGUGAGCAUCUGUGGGGUUGGUGAGGUUGGGGUCCAGAGGUGUUUGGAAGAUGCUGCAGGCUUGUGUAUAAUCAGUGACAUCAGCUCUCUGCCUCAGAAUAACAUCCCUGUGUGUACUGGAUGGUUUUGUGUGUCACUUAGGCACAAGCUGGAGUCAUUGCAGAGAAAGGAGCCUCCCUUGAGGAAAUGCCUCCAUGAGAUCUAGCUGUAAGGUAUUUUCUCAAUUAGUGACCAAUAUGGGAGGCCCAGCCCGUCGUGGGUGAUGUCACCCCUGGGCUGGUGGACCUGAGUUCUAUAAGAAAGCAGGUUGAGCAAGCCAGUAACAUCCCUCCAUGGCCUCUGCAUCAGCUCCUGCUCCACAUUCCCACUCCAGAUUCUUGCUCCUUGAGUUCCUGUCCUGACUUCCUUUGGUGAUGAACAGCAGUAUGGAAGUGUAAGCCAAAUAAACCCUUUCCUCCC